AACUUGCAAUUAGCUUGCUACUUUGAAUUGUUGGAAAUAUGACCUUACUCGGUGCCUCCAAAUUGAUGUCAUUUGUUGUUCUUUUAGCAAUACUUUUACUGCUCAUGCCCUCCACGCUGGGAAGUGCUUCCCAACCUAGUAUUAUACUCGGGCGAAAGCUUUUCCAAUAUCCUGGUGGUAGAGGAUAUGGAUAUGCUGAUGGUGAGUCAAUAUAUAAAAAAUAUCCUGGUGGUGGAGGAUAUCGAAAAAGACCAUGAAAUCAUUAACCACGCCAAGGGGCCGGGAAAUGGUUACCAACAAAACUGCUCGAUCUGUUGCUGAAAUAUUGGAGAUGUUAGCAUCGUUCUUUAAUUCUGUUGUUUUUUAUGCGAGUGAUAAAAUUUACUUUUAUAACAUGUAUGUGUGUCAGUACGUAGUCAUACUAAACUAUGAAGCAGGAACAUCCUACUUUGUGUCCUGUGUCCAACACGACAACACCGACACCCAUGUUCACGUCGUGUCCGACAUCUGUGUUAGUGUCUCAUGUCUAUUCACUUUAACCAUGGUAAUAGUCCAAAAUUAUUGGUUAAUAGAGAAUCAAAGUGGAUUACCAAUAAA
Glycine soja is the source of this 597-nucleotide long non-coding RNA. RefSeq lists it as uncharacterized. NCBI's taxonomy places the organism in Eukaryota, Viridiplantae, Streptophyta, Magnoliopsida, Fabales, Fabaceae. The transcript is spliced from 2 exons. The record is from RefSeq and is a predicted model, not a curated record.